CACGUAGGGGGCGAGCGUUGUCCGGAUUUAUUGGGCGUAAAGAGCUCGUAGGCGGCUCAGUAAGUCAGGUGUGAAAACUCCAGGCUCAACCUGGAGACGCCACCUGAUACUGCUGUGGCUAGAGUCCGGUAGGGGAGCAUGGAAUUCCUGGUGUAGCGGUGGAAUGCGCAGAUAUCAGGAGGAAUACCCAUAGCGAAGGCAGCUCGCUGGGACGUUACUGACGCUGAGGCGCGAAAGCGUGGGGAGCGAACAGG
RNAcentral lists this ribosomal RNA (254 nucleotides) under uncultured bacterium. Its description in RNAcentral is "partial 16S ribosomal RNA". It matches the Rfam family "Bacterial small subunit ribosomal RNA", at positions 524 to 776 of the family's 1533-position model. The record is from RNAcentral.